This 393-nucleotide ribosomal RNA is filed under the name uncultured bacterium. Its description in RNAcentral is "partial 16S ribosomal RNA". It matches the Rfam family "Bacterial small subunit ribosomal RNA", at positions 523 to 918 of the family's 1533-position model. The record is from RNAcentral.
AUACGGAGGAUCCGAGCGUUAUCCGGAUUUAUUGGGUUUAAAGGGAGCGUAGGUGGAUUGUUAAGUCAGUUGUGAAAGUUUGCGGCUCAACCGUAAAAUUGCAGUUGAUACUGGUCGUCUUGAGUGCAGUAGAGGUAGGCGGAAUUCGUGGUGUAGCGGUGAAAUGCUUAGAUAUCACGAAGAACUCCGAUUGCGAAGGCAGCUUACUGGACUGUAACUGACGCUGAUGCUCGAAAGUGUGGGUAUCAAACAGGAUUAGAUACCCUGGUAGUCCACACAGUAAACGAUGAAUACUCGCUGUUUGCGAUAUACGGCAAGCGGCCAAGCGAAAGCAUUAAGUAUUCCACCUGGGGAGUACGCCGGCAACGGUGAAACUCAAAUGAAUUGGCGGGG